This is a long non-coding RNA of Mus musculus (house mouse), 480 nucleotides long. RefSeq annotates it as predicted gene, 41234. Lineage: Eukaryota; Metazoa; Chordata; Mammalia; Rodentia; Muridae. The transcript is spliced from 2 exons. The record is from RefSeq and is a predicted model, not a curated record.
AGAGUUCAGGGAUCUUUAUGGAAGAGGAGAUAAAGAUCAAAAGAUCCAGAGGUAUCAGAUAUCUGCAGGAAACAUCGGUUGAAAAGCAUGUGUGUUUUGGUGCACACAUGAACUUACGGUUUCUGUGCCUGCAUGCACAAGAUCUACACAAGAUCAAGGAAGCCAAGCAGCUUGCCGCACGCAUUAUGGAAGCUGGAGACUACUACCCCUUUGGGACCCUCAAGAGGUCAUUCUCUCAUUCCUGACCUGCUUCAAGAGAAGUCCCCAUCACUUUCUGGAUUGAAAGGCGACAUGAAAUGACAAGGCAAUAUGCCAACCAAGUGCAGGGACCAAGAAGACCAGCCAACCUCCUCAACUUCCAGCUGAUGCAGAUCCACAUAGAGAUCCAGCCAAGCUCAGUUAAAUCUGUGCUAGAGCAGAAGGGCUACCCAGGUGCACAGUUGACUUGUGGCCAAAAUAAAUGUUUAUUAUUGUAACUCA